This 1336-nucleotide ribosomal RNA is filed under the name Streptomyces sp. ACT-14C. RNAcentral describes it as "bacterial SSU rRNA". It matches the Rfam family "Bacterial small subunit ribosomal RNA", at positions 81 to 1421 of the family's 1533-position model. The record is from RNAcentral. Lineage: Bacteria; Bacillati; Actinomycetota; Actinomycetes; Kitasatosporales; Streptomycetaceae.
UUCGGUGGGGAUUAGUGGCGAACGGGUGAGUAACACGUGGGCAAUCUGCCCUGCACUCUGGGACAAGCCCUGGAAACGGGGUCUAAUACCGGAUAUUGACCUUCACGGGCAUCUGUGAGGUUCGAAAGCUCCGGCGGUGCAGGAUGAGCCCGCGGCCUAUCAGCUUGUUGGUGAGGUAAUGGCUCACCAAGGCGACGACGGGUAGCCGGCCUGAGAGGGCGACCGGCCACACUGGGCUGAGACACGGCCCAGACUCCUACGGGAGGCAGCAGUGGGGAAUAUUGCACAAUGGGCGAAAGCCUGAUGCAGCGACGCCGCGUGAGGGAUGACGGCCUUCCGGGUUGUAAACCUCUUUCAGCAGGGAAGAAGCGAAAGUGACGGUACCUGCAGAAGAAGCGCCGGCUAACUACGUGCCAGCAGCCGCGGUAAUACGUAGGGCGCAAGCGUUGUCCGGAAUUAUUGGGCGUAAAGAGCUCGUAGGCGGCUUGUCACGUCGGUUGUGAAAGCCCGGGGCUUAACCCCGGGUCUGCAGUCGAUACGGGCAGGCUAGAGUUCGGUAGGGGAGAUCGGAAUUCCUGGUGUAGCGGUGAAAUGCGCAGAUAUCAGGAGGAACACCGGUGGCGAAGGCGGAUCUCUGGGCCGAUACUGACGCUGAGGAGCGAAAGCGUGGGGAGCGAACAGGAUUAGAUACCCUGGUAGUCACGCCGUAAACGGUGGGCACUAGGUGUGGGCAACAUUCCACGUUGUCCGUGCCGCAGCUAACGCAUUAAGUGCCCCGCCUGGGGAGUACGGCCGCAAGGCUAAAACUCAAAGGAAUUGACGGGGGCCCGCACAAGCGGCGGAGCAUGUGGCUUAAUUCGACGCAACGCGAAGAACCUUACCAAGGCUUGACAUACACCGGAAACGGCCAGAGAUGGUCGCCCCCUUGUGGUCGGUGUACAGGUGGUGCAUGGCUGUCGUCAGCUCGUGUCGUGAGAUGUUGGGUUAAGUCCCGCAACGAGCGCAACCCUUGUCCCGUGUUGCCAGCAAGCCCCUUCGGGGGUGUUGGGGACUCACGGGAGACCGCCGGGGUCAACUCGGAGGAAGGUGGGGACGACGUCAAGUCAUCAUGCCCCUUAUGUCUUGGGCUGCACACGUGCUACAAUGGCCGGUACAAUGAGCUGCGAUACCGCAAGGUGGAGCGAAUCUCAAAAAGCCGGUCUCAGUUCGGAUUGGGGUCUGCAACUCGACCCCAUGAAGUCGGAGUCGCUAGUAAUCGCAGAUCAGCAUUGCUGCGGUGAAUACGUUCCCGGGCCUUGUACACACCGCCCGUCACGUCACGAAAGUCGGUAACACC